Molecule: ribosomal RNA, 1628 nt
Filed under: metagenome
Description: bacterial LSU rRNA
Rfam family: Bacterial large subunit ribosomal RNA
Source: RNAcentral
AAAUGGAUUGGGUAGGGGAGCGUUGUAUACGCGGAGAAACAGUAGCGUAAGCGGCUGUGGAGUGUAUAGAAGUGAGAAUGCCGGAAUGAGUAGCGCGAAUGCAGUGAGAAUCUGCAUGGCCGAAAGCCUCAGGUUUUUGGAGGAAGGUUCGUCCGCUCCAAGUUAGUCGGGAGCUAAGGUGAGGCCGAAAGGCGUAGCCGAUGCACAGACGGUAGAGAUUCCGUCACCACCGAAAGAGUUAAGCACAGGGACACAUUUGAAGUCUCAGAGCCGGGUGUUGGUUCCGGUAGAGAUCGAGGGAAGUUAGUACCGAAGUCUGAGAUGGAAGAUGGCGAGAAAAGCUGUGUGUAUUUCUGAGGUGCCCGUACCGCAAACCGACACAGGUAGGUAGGAAGAAGAUUCUAAGGCCAACGGGAGAAGGGUUGUUAAGGAACUCGGCAAAUUGACCCCGUAACUUCGGGAGAAGGGGUGCUCCAGAGAUGGAGCCGCAGAGAAUCGGCCCAAGCAACUGUUUACCAAAAACACAGGUUUGUGCUAAAUCGAAAGAUGACGUAUACGAGCUGACGCCUGCCCGGUGCUGGAAGGUUAAGAGGAGAUGUGCAAGCAUUGAAUCGAAGCCCCAGUGAACGGCGGCCGUAACGAUAACGGUCCUAAGGUAGCGAAAUUCCUUGUCAGGUAAGUUCUGACCCGCAUGAAAGGCGUAAUGAUUUGGGCACUGUCUCAACAGCCCGCCCGGCGAAAUUGUAGUACCGGUGAAGAUGCCGGUUACCCGCGACAAGACGGAAAGACCCCAUGGAGCUUUACUGUAGCCUAAUAUUGGGUUUCGAUGUUGCAUGCACAGGAUAGAUGGGACACAGGGAAACAAUCGCUUUGGCGGUUGCGGAGUGGCCGUUGGGAUACCAUCCUUGCGAUAUUGGAAUUCUAACCUGCGGCUCUGAAUCGAGUCGGGGGACAUUGUUAGGUGGGCAGUUUGACUGGGGCGGUCGCCUCCUAAAAAGUAACGGAGGCGUUCAAAGGUUCGCUCAGCUUGAACGGAAAUCAAGCAAAAGAGUGCAAACGCAGAAGCGAGCCUAACUGCGAGACUGACGGGUCGAGCAGUAACGAAAGUUGGAGUUAGUGAUCCGGUGGUAUGUGAGUGGAAAUGCCAUCGCUCAACGGAUAAAAGUUACCCUGGGGAUAACAGGCUGAUCUCCCCCAAGAGUCCACAUCGACGGGGAGGUUUGGCACCUCGAUGUCGGCUCAUCGCAUCCUGGGGCUGUAUUCGGUCCCAGGGGUUUGGCUGUUCGCCAAUUAAAGCGGUACGCGAGCUGGGUUCAGAACGUCGUGAGACAGUUCGGUCCCUAUCUGUCGUGGGCGCAGGAUGUUUGAUGGGAGCUGUCCCUAGUACGAGAGGACCGGGACGGACGUACCUCUGGCGCACCAGUUGUUCCGCCAGGAGCAUAGCUGGGCAACUACGUACGGAUCGGAUAAACGCUGAAAGCAUCUAAGCGUGAAGCCGACCCAAAGAUAAGAUAUCCCACUGAUUUGAUCAGGUAAGACCCCUUGAAGACUACAAGGUUGAUAGGCACGAUGUGUAAGUGGAGCGAUCCAUUCAGCAAGCGUGUACUAAUAGGUCGAGGGCUUGACCU